CCAGUGACUCUGUUCAACGGCCGCGGUAUCCUAACCGUGCGAAGGUAGCGUAAUCACUUGUUCUUUAAAUGAGGACUAGUAUGAAUGGCACCACGAAGGUUAUACUGUCUCCUUUCUUUAAUCAGUGAAACUAAUCUCUCCGUGAAGAAGCGGGGAUAUAAUUAUAAGACGAGAAGACCCUAUGGAGCUUUAAACGUGAGUAACAAUUGCCCGCCAUAAUAUUUUUCCCCGGAAAUUAACCACAAUACUUAGGCAUCUUGAUUACAAGUUUUAGGUUGGGGCGACCGCGGAGCAGAGAAUAACCUCCGCAGUGAAUGGAACUUAUUUCCUAAACCCAGGGCUACGACCCUAAGCAUCAAUAAAUUGACACUAAUUGACCCAAUAUUUUUGAUCAAUGAACCAAGUUACCCUAGGGAUAACAGCGCAAUC
This 429-nucleotide ribosomal RNA is filed under the name Leptodactylus luctator. RNAcentral describes it as "partial 16S ribosomal RNA". It matches the Rfam family "Bacterial large subunit ribosomal RNA", at positions 1911 to 2487 of the family's 2925-position model. The record is from RNAcentral. Lineage: Eukaryota; Metazoa; Chordata; Amphibia; Anura; Leptodactylidae.